AAUUUCACUACAUUGGAAUACUAUUCCAAAUUUUGCACUCCAUACGUUGAAGUAUAUUCUUAAACGUAUAGAGUUGAUCAAAAUGUUCUGCUAUUAAGCCAUUAAACGUUUUACAAUACGAGCUACCAUCUUGAUAAAAUUAUAUAUCUAAACUUUCUUAUGUAUCAGUUUGUAUUUCAAGAAACCACCACAUUAUCAGUCAUCACAUUUCUCAAUACAGGCGCGCACAUAUACCACGCUUACAAACCAAUUUAAUAUUUGCAUAUAAAUAUUUGAAAUAGGUCGUAAUGCCAAUUAUGUGUAUGUACUCAUAAAUGUUAUUUCAAAGUAUCAAUGUCUGUUUUUCUCUGUGUUUAAUAUAAGAUAGUUUUGAUAUCAUAUUUAUCAAGGUAGCCCUGAUUGUAAAACGUAUGAAUCGAGAAGCUCGUCCCUCAACCCUUACAGCAUGAAGUUCCCAAUUUAUUAAGUACAAAUUUGACCAAACUUGAAGAGUUUAUUCGAAACCAAUCAUCUUCAAAUAAAAUCCAUAUUUUAUUUUAACUCAGGUCUCAAUCAUUCAACCACUGAUGUCAUAAACUGACACUCGACAGCUUGAAAAUAUCGUCAGGGUAAAAAAAAUCCCGCGUUCUACAUUGACUUUACCUCUCGUAUAUUCCAGCUUUGGAAUAAAAUUUCUACCAGGUUUUUUGACCAAUAGUAGUAUGAGGCUCUUCAAGAAGAAAGACUUACAGAUUUUUUAGAACUGGCACAGAAGAAUAAAUUGGAACACUUGCUGCAGGGCAGAGGGGAUACUAGUCUUCGACAGGCCAAUCAUUAAGGCCUCGAUUUAUGAUUUCUCUAUCUCUGAAUUUGUUCAAUAGUUAUUUACUGGUAAAAUACGAGUUUAUAAAGAUGGUGUUCACUGUUCACACAUUCUCCGAUAUAUUAUGUCUAAAGGAUCGACGGGACGUU
Cydia splendana is the source of this 951-nucleotide long non-coding RNA. RefSeq lists it as uncharacterized. NCBI's taxonomy places the organism in Eukaryota, Metazoa, Arthropoda, Insecta, Lepidoptera, Tortricidae. The record is from RefSeq and is a predicted model, not a curated record. The transcript is spliced from 2 exons.